Non-coding RNA from Hemiscyllium ocellatum (epaulette shark), 428 nucleotides. The record is from the annotation of a RefSeq genome assembly. Lineage: Eukaryota; Metazoa; Chordata; Chondrichthyes; Orectolobiformes; Hemiscylliidae.
AUGUCACUUCUUAUUUAUUCAUCAUUCCUAACAGUAGCAGUUCUCUUAAGUGGUGUUAAUUGUGCAGACCAUGUCUCACAAAAGCCGGUUACAGUAGCACAGCUCGAAGCAGAUUCUGUGACUAUUCAUUUCAGCUAUACAAUUGCAGGUGCUCAAUAUUCCCUACAGUUGUACCGCCAAGAUCCAGGUACACCUCCGAUAUUCUUGAUCUACAUCCCUACAUAUGAAGAGGUCGUGAGAGCGAAAGAUAUUGGUGAUCGAUUCUCUGCAUCUCUGGACAUUUCAAACAAGGAGGGAAAUUUCACCAUCAGUAGUCUCCAACUGUCUGACAGCGCGGUGUAUUACUGUGCGCUGAAAGACACAUUGACUGGAAGAAGAGAGAGCCUCGUACAUAAACACCGCUGCAAUGGAAUGACGUGCCAAUUAUG